RNAcentral lists this ribosomal RNA (253 nucleotides) under uncultured bacterium. RNAcentral's name for it is "partial 16S ribosomal RNA". It matches the Rfam family "Bacterial small subunit ribosomal RNA", at positions 524 to 776 of the family's 1533-position model. The record is from RNAcentral.
UACGUAGGUGGCAAGCGUUGUCCGGAAUUAUUGGGCGUAAAGCGCGCGCAGGCGGUCCUUUAAGUCUGAUGUGAAAGCCCACGGCUCAACCGUGGAGGGUCAUUGGAAACUGGGGGGCUUGAGUGCAGAAGAGGAAAGCGGAAUUCCACGUGUAGCGGUGAAAUGCGUAGAGAUGUGGAGGAACACCAGUGGCGAAGGCGGCUUUCUGGUCUGUAACUGACGCUGUGGCGCGAAAGCGUGGGGAGCAAACAGG